Molecule: non-coding RNA, 4341 nt
Organism: Oryzias latipes (Japanese medaka)
Lineage: Eukaryota; Metazoa; Chordata; Actinopteri; Beloniformes; Adrianichthyidae
Source: RefSeq, a predicted model, not a curated record
UGUGAUUGCAUCAAAAAGAGAAGAUAGCUCUGAAGUGUGCACAGGGAGGGGAGCAACAUUGUACCUCCUCCAUCCUGUUUCCUGCAGAACAGCUGUGUGUCAACGGGAAGGGGGUGACGGAUGGGGGUUUUAAAAAGGAAAAGAAGAUGAACACAUGAUCUCACUUUAAACAUAGAUGUGUGCAGUCGGAUGGACAGCUAUCAAGUUUUCUCUCUAAGUUUACUGCCUGAGCGGCUCUGAGUGUCAAGUGUCACUGUCAAUCUCGCUUUUGUCCGUGUGGCUGACAGUGACAUCAACACCCUCGCUGGUGUCAGCUCGCUUGUAUCUGUGCUUGUGGAAAGAUGACUGAGCUCAGGAUGUUGAAAAAUGCUUUAUUGGAUGGACUUAUUGUCGGUCCGUACAGUAAGUCUUUUCGCAAGAGACGAUGCUUCAGUGAUACCUCAGACCUGUUUGCCAUGAUCGAGAGGAUGCAGGGUUGCAGAAUGGAUGAGCAAAGAUGCCCGUUCCCUCCUCCCCUCAAGACAGAAGAGGACUACAUCCCUUAUCCCAGCGUUCAUGAGGUUUUGGGGCGCCGGAGUCCUUUUCCCCUUAUCCUGCUGCCUCAGUUUGGAGGUUACUGGAUUGAAGGAACCAAUCACGAGCCUAAAGACCCAAUAGAGGCCGAUCAACCUACCUGUCCUGCCUCCCACAUCAAGCUAGAGACAAACAGUACUGCUAAGCUCUACAGAAAAAAUUUCAUGGGCAAGGAACACUUUAAUUACUACACCAUGGAUGCUGCCCUGGGUCACUUGGUCUUUUCAGUGAAGUAUGAUGUCAUUGGUGAUCAAGAGCAUCUGCGCUUAAUGCUACGCACAAAGCUAAAAACAUAUCAUGACGUGAUUCCCAUUUCCUGCCUUACCGAAUUCCCCAAUGUGGUCCAGAUGGCCAAGCUUGUUUGUGAAGAAGUUAAUGUAGAUCGCUUUUACCCUGUCCUCUACCCAAAGGCAUCAAGGCUCAUUGUCACCUUUGAUGAACAUGUAAUCAGCAACAACUUUAAGUUUGGAGUCAUUUAUCAAAAGUUUGGGCAGACAUCAGAGGAGGAGCUCUUUGGAAACAUGGAGGAAAGUCCCGCCUUUGUUGAGUUCUUGGAGUUUCUCGGAAAGAAAAUUGAGCUUCAUGAUUUUAAAGGUUUUCGGGGUGGCUUGGAUGUCGCUCAUGGUCAGACGGGGACAGAAUCUGUCUACACAAAUUUUCACAAUAAGGAGAUUAUGUUUCAUGUGUCCACCAAACUGCCUUACACAGAAGGAGACUCCCAGCAGCUGCAGAGAAAGAGACACAUAGGCAACGACAUUGUGGCCAUCGUGUUCCAGGAGGAAAACACUCCUUUUGUACCUGACAUGAUCCAGUCCAAUUUCCUGCAUGCGUAUGUUGUAGUGCAGGUGGAGAAUGCCUGUUCGGACAACGUCACCUAUAAGGUUUCUGUGACUGCAAGGGAUGAUGUACCUUUCUUUGGUCCUGCUCUACCUGACCCUGCCAUUUUCAAAAAGGGUCCAGAGUUCCGUGAGUUUCUCUUCACCAAGCUCAUUAAUGCAGAAUAUGCCUGCUACAAGGCUGAGAAGUUUGCCAAACUGGAGGAGCGCACGCGCGCUGCACUGUUAGAAACUCUGUACGAGGAGCUGCACAUCAACAGUCAGUCCAUGAUGGGCCUGGGUGGAGACGAAGAUAAGCUGGAGAACGGGGGCGGAGGAGGAGGCGGCGGCUUCUUUGAAUCCUUCAAGCGGGUCAUCCGCAGCAGAAGCCAGUCUAUGGACGCCAUGGGCCUCAGUAACAAGAAGUCAAACACAGUCUCCACUAGUCACAGUGGCAGCUUUACCAACAAUCCCGCAGAGAGCCCCAAAACCACAGGGAUUUCAUUGCUUGUCCCAGGGAAAAGUCCCAGUAAAUAUGGACGCCGAGGCAGUGCCAUAGGGAUAGGAACAAUAGAAGAGUCAUUGAUCAUUCCUGGGAAAAGCCCUACCAGGAAAAAGUCUGGGCCCUUCAGCUCCCGCCGCAGCAGUGCCAUCGGCAUCGAGAACAUUCAGGAGGUCCAAGAGAGAAGUCGUGAGGUUUCACCCAGCGCUCAGAAGGCAGCGGACAGCAGCCACCUGUCACAGGAACACAGAUCUGACAACUCUCCCAAUCACAGCUCUCCAGAGUUUUUUGCCACAAAGAACAGUCUGGCAAUGUAUUGCAGGGCACCCUCCAUCCCCGAGGCUCAGGACCUUUCCCGCUCCUCGUCCAACGCCAGCAGCUUUGCCAGUGUUGUGGAGGAGCACGAGGCCGAGGAGGAGUACGACACUGGAAUGGAAAGUGUUUCGUGUGUCACACCAGUCAAAAAAGAUACCUUUGUGUACAGCUGUGGGGUGGAGGAGGGUACGUGCAGCCAAGGAAGUUUUGCAGCAGCUUCUCGUCUUCAGCAGCAGCAGGAUGGAGUGAAGACAUCAGAAUUAAAAGGGACCGACAGUCAGACCAAGAUGGAGGGCCGCCAGCAGGAGCAGAAGUUCUCAUCGGUGAGGCAAAUGAAUCACAGAUAAAAGGAGUACACAAACUGUUAGCCACUUUCCCCUGAUCCUGACUCUGAAGUCCAUCUUUGUAAAGCAUCUUCCUCGCCGGCAUCAUCUGCCAAAGAUCUAGCCAAGGAAGGCAUGGAACUCCACCACCACUUUGUUGUAUUUUGGGUAUUGGUUUGCUGCUUAUGAUGACCGACACCUCCAUCGUCAUGAGUUACCUAUUCCAUCCUGUAAGUGGAAACGCUGAGUGCUCAGUGCACUCCAAACUCAUGCAGAUCACCGUGGGUCUGCUGUCUUUGUGUAGAAAUCUGCUCUUUCUUCACAAAUCUGAUUAUCAACGGGUGAUCUCAAUCGCACUGUCCUCCCACUGGAAUCAGGACAUCAGGACUUUGACAGAAAUUGGAGUUUUGUCAAACCUCUAUGGACUACAUUUUUUGUUUUUGUACGUCAAAACAACAUCCCACUCACUGUGACGUUGUACAGUUUGAACCUUGGCGUAUCCGGUGUGGUUUUCAGUCGGGCCAUUUUCUGUGUUCUAUUGACAAUUAUUUUCUGGGUAUUUUGCAGUGGAUAUUUGUUGUGUUUUCUAACAAUGUUUGUCAUGCUUUCAGCAAAGCUUGUUGAAAGUGUAGAUAUGAAAUGUGUUCACCCUUUUUGUUUGUGGGUGAAGAGGAAGGCUUACCAAUAAAAACUGGUGGUGAAUCAAAAGUGGAAAACCAGCUAAAUGUAACCUAAAUCUUGCCGAUACGGUAGUACUGUUUAGAUAUGUCUUCAAAUGCUUGUUGUUAUACCCCACCUGUUGAUGUCUUUGUACAGGUGUGUAAGCAUAAAUACUGUGCAUGGUGUGAACCUGCUUGCCAAAAUCCCUCUCUGCACAUUGGUGAAAGGCUCGGCAUAACGGUGUCCCUGUGAUUAGUGUUUCACCGAAAACUAGCUUCCAUCUCCAGAUGCAGAGCACUUUUACAGAGAGACAAAUGUACUUUUGUUUUUAGCUAAGUAUAUGUAUGAGAAAGCACUAAAUUUCCAGCAUUAUUCCCAGAUGCUGACCUUUCAAAGAACCUAACAGGUUGCCAGAGAAAUGAAAUACACUGUGACUUGCUCUGCAGUUGCCUUCUUGAUCUUGUCACAAAAGCUGCUUUGAUUGAAAGUCAUUUUCAAAAGGCAGUGUGCUGCCAGAUGGCUCGAAUGUAAAACGAAGCAGAAAUAGAUAUAUCUUUCACUCAUCGAAAUAAAUCUUUUAUGUACAAAGAGACAACACAUUGAGCUGCUUUUUACUUGCAUUUUUUGUGUGGCUUUGUUUUUGGUUUUGGAAAAUCACAAAAAAAAUGUAAAUUUUAUUUAUUUGACUUGAAAUUAUUUGAAUUGAAACUACUGAUUUGUGAGUUUAUGGUACCAAAACUGUGGAACCUACAGUGUGUUCUGACAAUUCCAUCAGUAAUCUAUUUAUGGCAAGAUAAUACCUACAGUUGCACGCUAUUAUUCUUUUAACAUCUUUUUCAGCUAGUUUUUGUAAGGAAAAUGCUUUUCCAGUUGUAACAUCCAAAAGAUUGAAUGGAGAAAGUCUGCCCUCUUGUGGCUCUUUAUUGUUAAUGCACAAUACUGUGGAACCAGUCUUUAUUUUGCACUGUACAGCCAGCAACCGCAUUUAACACCGAGAACAAAUCUUCUUUAUGCUCAAUCCAAAUGAUUGUAUUUCUGUUUUUGUCAACUGUUUGUUUUGGCCCUUUGUUUUUGAGAUGUUUGUAAAUAUUGAUUUUCAUCUUUUUUGUAAAUAAUGUCAGUAAAGUAUUUAAUUAAAAAACGUAAACACCAA